CCGUAGGUGAACCUGCGGAAGGAUCACUA
RNAcentral lists this non-coding RNA (29 nucleotides) under Mus musculus (house mouse). The record is from RNAcentral. RNAcentral also lists the same sequence under 1 other name. Lineage: Eukaryota; Metazoa; Chordata; Mammalia; Rodentia; Muridae.